RNAcentral lists this transfer RNA (76 nucleotides) under Rhodococcus sp. Leaf225. RNAcentral describes it as "tRNA-Trp". It matches the Rfam family "tRNA". From Rfam's summary of the family: Transfer RNA (tRNA) molecules are approximately 80 nucleotides in length. Their secondary structure includes four short double-helical elements and three loops (D, anti-codon, and T loops). RNAcentral also lists the same sequence under 1 other name. The record is from RNAcentral. Lineage: Bacteria; Bacillati; Actinomycetota; Actinomycetes; Mycobacteriales; Nocardiaceae.
GGGUGCCUAGCUCAACUGGAAGAGCAGCGGUCUCCAAAGCCGCCGGUUGCAGGUUCGAGUCCUGCGGCACUUGCUA